This 2997-nucleotide long non-coding RNA is filed under the name Lactuca sativa (garden lettuce). RNAcentral's name for it is "long non-coding RNA (LSAT_LNC002680)". The record is from RNAcentral. Lineage: Eukaryota; Viridiplantae; Streptophyta; Magnoliopsida; Asterales; Asteraceae.
AAAAUUGUUUGGUCAAAAUUAAACUUCAAACUCAAAAUUAUAUGAGAUUUUUUCUUUUUUAUUUGUCUCAAAAUAAUAGUAUACUUUUCAAAUAAAUAAUAUUUUUACCAAAAUACUUCUUAUUAUUAUUUAACCAACUAAACAUUUAAUAGAACGUUAAAUGCAAAGCAAGGACAAAACUGUCAUUUUAUUAAAUAAAAUUAAUGGUAAUUAAUUGUUUUUUUGUUUGUGAACAAUAAUUAUUGGGACUGAGUAUUAAUUCUCUCUCUUAAUUCUCACUCUAACACCAAUUCCUACCAUUCAUCGUCUUCAUCUUCCUCGCCUAGUCUUAAGUUCACAACAGUUCUUUGACUUCCCAGAAAACUACCUUGCUCAAUUUCAAGCAACAGUAGGGAAAUCCACACUCACUAGCAGAUCAUUGUCAUGUACUCAUGUUGCAACUCGACAACAAGGAACUUACCGGACCUAUAUCGCCGAUUAUUCGUCACCUCCGGAACCUGGAUAUUAGAGAAUUAAAUCAAGUAUGUUUCAAAUUUAGUUUUUGACUUUAUGUUCUUCAAAAACCCAGCUUCAAAAAGCUUAAUUUGAAUAGAUCUUAGAAGCUCAUUUGAAUAAAAAUUAUUAAAACUAAAGUGGGCAUAUACUCAUAUCGAGCAGCUGCCAAUCAAAUAACAAAGGAAAAAAAAAGCAGUAAAUUUCGAAAUGUAACAACCCGCGUGAAUGGAAUCGAAUAAAACAAUGGAUAAGAACUCAAAAGGAAAAACAAAAACAAAAAAGUGAUUGAAGCUGUUAAAUCAAAAGUGUUUUGAAUUUAAGACAUAAACAUCAGGGGAUUUCAGGAAUAAAAUAAACAGAUCAAAACAAGUGAUUCUAACUGACAAAUCAAAUGGGUUUUCGAAAUCAAAUUAAGAAUACUUGCAAAAACAGUACAAAGAGAUGUUGAAAUUAGAAACCCGAAACAAUCGAACUGAAAACAAACGAUUGAAACCGAAAAAUCAAAAUGGUUUAUGGAGUUCAAGUAGAAAGAUAAGAGAUAAUGAAGAACAUAAACCACCAUAAGUCGAAAAUUUUAACAAAACUUAUCUGAACAAAGUCGCAUGAAGAAGUAGAUAAAAUGUUGAAUUAGAUCAGAAAACAAAAAGGGUUUAUUUGAAUCAAGAUGGUUGUGGUUUUGAGGUUUGUUUGAGUUUGUGGUUGGAAAAUUACAGAACUGUGGACUGUUCUUGUGUGUGUGAGAGAGAGAGAGAGAGUUGUUUAUUUGAUUGUUUAUGUGGAAAUCCACGUGUCAUCCACAUGGUGUUGAUUAGGCAGCCACGUGAAUGUGUGUCAUAGUAUACAUCCCAAAAAGAUAACCGUUUAUGUAAUUUACUUAUUUUCUUUAUUAUAUUAUCAUGAUAUGACCUGUUGUUUUGAAAACUAGACAUGGAUUUUUAAUAUAUGUGUCAUGACUCAUGAUGAUAUUUACUCCUUAUCUAUUUAUUCUAUAAACAUAUUAUGUCAAAUAAUUAUAAAAUUACUAGAUAUGGAUUAUUAAUAAUAUCAAAAGAUGAAUAAUUUCUAGGCACUUAAACGUGAUUCGGUGACUGGCUAAUAUUUGUAUCAUGAUAAUAUUUUCUUUUUAGAAACUUAGGAUAUUUUAUAUAAUAAUUUUGAAGGUUAAACGAUUAAACUGAAUUUGAAAGGUCAAACAUAAAUUCAAUUUAAUUUUUAGAAAAAUGUCCGGAAGUAAGUAAUGCUGGAAUUGUAAUUUUAAAGAUAUUAUAACUUACAUUUCAAUCGGCUUGAUGAGUUUGUCUAAUAACAAUAAUUAUAUCAUGGUCUAUGUAAGUAAAUAUGAAUAUGAUUUAUUUUUAUUUUAACAAUCUUAUCAACUAUUAUCAAUAGUGGAAAUUUGCAAGGUUAUAAAAAACAAAAGGAUAUACAAUUAAUAGACCAAAAUUAAAUAUAAUGUGAUUACCAAAAACUUUAAUAUAUUAAACGUUCACUAAUUUUUGGAUACAAAAGGAAAUUAUAGGAUUUUCUUAAUCCGCCAUAAUUGUGUUUGUGAUAUUAUUAAUUAAUUCACUAAAUCUAGUGUAUAAAUAUAUGUAUAAAUAUAAAUGGCGUUUGUUAAAGUUUAAACUUCAUAUUCCUUUCAAGCAAAAAAAAACCUUAGGUGUUGGUUGGUUCGCGGAAUGUUAUUGGAGGAAUUUGAAUUGGAAUUAGAAAAUGAAUCUCUCAUGAAUUUGAAUCCAAUUCCAUGUGUUGUUUGGUUGGUAGGAAAUGAGAUUGAAAUUAAUUUCAUAUCCUGUUUGGUUUGCAGGAAAUGAAAUUGAAAUUCAUGAAAAAUGACUGAACUGCCCUUUUGUCUAUUUUGCUUAAUCAUAUGAAUUUAUCAUGUCCAUACAAAAUCAUAUCGUAUUGAAGGUGUAAUGUAAUUUCUAGCAAGUAUAUCUAAAACCACACAAUCAAUUUUCAAAGAUAUUUAUGUUUCACCAUGUAUUCGAUUACCAGAAAUUUAUAAACAUGAACAUUGAUUUUGAUUUUAACAACAAAUUGUAAACAGGAAAAUAUGGACAGCAACGACAAUUUUAACAAUAUUUGAUUAACAUAAAUUGAUUUGCUUAUUAAUAAAUCGAUUUUCAGGAGAUGAGGUUGAGAAAACAUAAGAGAAAUCGAGUUUAACAAACCCCUCGAUUUUCACAUUGAGAGAUAGCGAGAGUGAGAGAUAACGACAUCGAUUCACUAACCUGGCGGAAGAUUGGAGAAGACGACGACCUGGUGUAAGAUUGUAGAAGAUGAAGUUGUUUGGAGAAGAAGAUUAGAAUGGUUUGGUAGGUAUAAUGGUAAAUUUUAACUUUCCGUGUUAAUAAGGAAUUGAUUCCAUCUUGUUGGUGAAGGAAAGUAUUUUCCCUCCAUUGAAGGAAUGUUUUCUCAUUUAAGAAUCUCUUUCCUUCUCUAAAAGUUGAACCAAACACAUGACUUCGGGGGAAUUGAAAUCAUUUUCCCUCGAAUUCC